CCCCUCUCAGAGUUGCACCUGGAGAGUUUCCAGGACUCUAUUAGUCACGACUACAGGAGGCAGAGUCAUGCAGAGGCAUACCCAUUCCAUUUCUAGCUUGGGCAGUGGCUGGUGAGUGGAAGGCAAUCUGCUACAAGU
Small nucleolar RNA from Ornithorhynchus anatinus (platypus), 138 nucleotides. The record is from RefSeq and is a predicted model, not a curated record. Lineage: Eukaryota; Metazoa; Chordata; Mammalia; Monotremata; Ornithorhynchidae.